Mus spicilegus (steppe mouse) is the source of this 134-nucleotide small nuclear RNA. Its record names the gene U1. It matches the Rfam family "U1 spliceosomal RNA". From Rfam's summary of the family: U1 is a small nuclear RNA (snRNA) component of the spliceosome (involved in pre-mRNA splicing). Its 5' end forms complementary base pairs with the 5' splice junction, thus defining the 5' donor site of an intron. NCBI's taxonomy places the organism in Eukaryota, Metazoa, Chordata, Mammalia, Rodentia, Muridae. The record is from Ensembl.
AUCUUUACCUGACAGGGGAGAUGCCAGGCAAAAGAUUGUCUACUGCAGUCUACAUGUGCUGUGAUUUCUCCAAAUUUGUGAAACUUGAUUGUAUAAUUUUUGAUAGUGAGGGACUGUAUUCAUGUUCUCCCCUG